CCAGAAUGCAGAGUGGAGAGAAAACGGGUGGAAAACACAGGAAAGAGCCCGGCAGACAUGGAGUGGGAAGUUGUGUCCCUGAAACAGGCCCAGGUGGAGAGGAGAGAGGACGGAGCGGGGGCAGGACGGAGAUGUGACAUUUGGGAGUUUUACACCAUUGUUACAGGACACAGAGUCACAGGUUGAAGAAGUCCUGCCAAGUCCAAGCAGGGUUAACGCCGAAACCACCAGAGGCAAGUGAAUUGCAGUCAUACUGCUGAACAGCAGCCAGAGAAACAAGACCAGCAGCCAGAUCCAGGGGAAGUCGGGGGCUUGUUUUCAGUUCUCCUUGAUUUCUUCUAAACAGCCACAGUCUGAUUCUUUUUUUAAGCGAUGUGAUGUGGACAUAGAGAGCUUGCUUUCAUUGUCUGGUUUAACCUGCUGCUGUUCGUAGCCCUGAGUCGUGUGUUGGACAGGGAAGGCGUCUCACCAGACAGAGGUGUAGACGGGCCAGGGGAGGCGUCCCACCAGACAGACGUGUAGAUGGGCCAGGGGAGGCGUCUCACCAGACAGAGGUGUAGACGGGCCAGGUUUCCACAGUCGUUCAUGCAGUGGUAUUUUGUGCUGAGCUCUGUUCUGAUUCUCUCUUCUGGUAGCUUCUCAUCUCCCAGAUAUGUCAUUCUGUGUGGAAGCG
RNAcentral lists this long non-coding RNA (673 nucleotides) under Homo sapiens (human). Its description in RNAcentral is "non-protein coding lnc-TDRP-5:1". The record is from RNAcentral. Lineage: Eukaryota; Metazoa; Chordata; Mammalia; Primates; Hominidae.